CUCGUCUACAUUGCAAAUGCAAGAUAAUUCCAAACAAGAUAUAGUUCAUUGGAUAUAUUUAACAAUAAUUAAAUUUUGGAUGUAACGCGUUUUCUGAUUGGCUGACGUUAUUUUGUUAUCAGCCCAUACACAUAAUUUAGUCAUGUGACCGUGACGUCAUCAACGUUUUUUCAUGGUUUUCUACGGUUUAAAAUGGAAUUUAGAAUUAAAUCAUACGAAAUGACUGUAAUAUUCUUUUCUGUCUAUUCAAAAUAACAUUAAAAA
This 264-nucleotide long non-coding RNA is filed under the name Mytilus galloprovincialis (Mediterranean mussel). Lineage: Eukaryota; Metazoa; Mollusca; Bivalvia; Mytilida; Mytilidae. The record is from RNAcentral.